This is a non-coding RNA of Vicugna pacos (alpaca), 382 nucleotides long. NCBI's taxonomy places the organism in Eukaryota, Metazoa, Chordata, Mammalia, Artiodactyla, Camelidae. The record is from RefSeq and is a predicted model, not a curated record.
GGCUCUUGGCCGCCGCCUCAAGGAACACGGCAGGAGGGUCGUUAACCUUCUGGGGUCUCUCGGGCCUGGUCAGCUUUCCAAGUAAGCAGAAUGAAGACCAAAAGACAUUCAGAAAAGAGGACAAAGGAAAGAGAAGUGAUAGUGAACAAGCACUAGAAAUACAAGACAGCAACAAGAUUUGUGGAAAGUUUGGGAUAGAUGGAAUCUAUCAUUCGAUAAAUAAUGUCAAAUGACCUGAAAGUCUCUGGAGUCUUAUGUGUGGCCUUUGAGGACUCAUCAACUUGAGAACAGAGCAGGAUGCAGGUGUUUCAACCAUGGAUGCCAUAGUGGUUACUACAGAUAUUGAAUAUACUGUGCUAUACAGAAGAAACUUGUUUAUUUU